This 412-nucleotide ribosomal RNA is filed under the name uncultured bacterium. Its description in RNAcentral is "bacterial SSU rRNA". It matches the Rfam family "Bacterial small subunit ribosomal RNA", at positions 64 to 507 of the family's 1533-position model. The record is from RNAcentral.
GAACGAGAAAGUGGAGCAAUCCAUGAGUAAAGUGGCGACCGGNGUGAGUAACACGUGACUAACCUACCUUCGAGUGGGGAAUAACCUCGGGAAACCGGGGCUAAUACCGCAUAAUGUCUUCGGACCAAAGGAGCAAUUCGCUGGAAGAGGGGGUCGCGGCCGAUUAGCUAGUUGGCGGGGUAACGGCCCACCAAGGCCAUGAUCGGUAGCCGGCCUGAGAGGGCGCACGGCCACACUGGAACUGAAACACGGUCCAUACUCCUACGGGAGGCAGCAGUGGGGAAUUUUGCGCAAUGGGGGAAACCCUGACGCAGCAACGCCGCGUGGAGGAUGAAGCCCCUUGGGGUGUAAACCCCUUUCGAUCGGGACGAUAAUGACGGUACCGGAUGAAGAAGCACCGGCUAACUCUGUG